Long non-coding RNA from Mercurialis annua (annual mercury), 422 nucleotides. RefSeq lists it as uncharacterized. NCBI's taxonomy places the organism in Eukaryota, Viridiplantae, Streptophyta, Magnoliopsida, Malpighiales, Euphorbiaceae. The transcript has 2 exons. The record is from RefSeq and is a predicted model, not a curated record.
AUCUAUAACAGAUAAUAGCAUAAUGUUAUAGUUCCCAACUGAUUACAUCAUGCUGCUAAUGGAUAUGAAUGAAGUUAAAAUCAAUAUCUCCACACCUUAUGAUAAUUCAAAGAAGUUCCGAAGGAUCAAACAUGGUUUACGAGUCGACAUAAAUAUACUCCAAUAUUUCCAUCCUAUGGGAUUUAAAAUCAAGUUUUGAACACACUGGAUACUACAGGGCAGAUGAACAGAUAAAGGGAGGAACGCCACAAAAUGAAGAUGCAUGAAAGAAAGCAACAUGAUUUGGGGACAUACAGUUGUAGAUUUGAGUUUACCCAUGAGGGAAAUCUUCCUGUAAGAUUAUUGUAAGAUAAAUCUCUGCAAAAAAUAAGUGAAUGCAUCAGUACUAGUAAUAGAGUGGAAAAGAGGCGACCAUUUGAACU